RNAcentral lists this ribosomal RNA (480 nucleotides) under uncultured bacterium. RNAcentral describes it as "bacterial SSU rRNA". It matches the Rfam family "Bacterial small subunit ribosomal RNA", at positions 28 to 507 of the family's 1533-position model. The record is from RNAcentral.
GACGAACGCUGGCGGCGUGCUUAACACAUGCAAGUCGAACGAGAACUAGAGACUAUUCUUUUAGAUUAGACUUUAGGGAAAGUGGCGAACGGGUGAGUAACGCGUGGGCAACAUGCCCUUCACAGGGGGAUAACAUCGGGAAACCGAUGCUAAUACCGCAUAAACCGGCAGUAUAGCAUUAUACAACCGGCAAAGGAGCAAUCCGGUGAAGGAGUGGCCCGCGUCCAAUUAGCUAGAUGGUGGGGUAAAAGCCUACCAUGGCGACGAUUGGUAGCCGGACUGAGAGGUUGACCGGCCACAUUGGGACUGAGACACGGCCCAGACUCCUACGGGAGGCAGCAGUGGGGAAUAUUGCACAAUGGGGGAAACCCUGAUGCAGCGACGCCGCGUGAAGGAAGAAGGCUUUCGGGUUGUAAACUUCUUUGAUUAGGGACGAAGAAAGUGACGGUACCUAAAAAACAAGCCACGGCUAACUACGUG